Molecule: ribosomal RNA, 324 nt
Filed under: uncultured eukaryote
Lineage: Eukaryota
Description: partial 18S ribosomal RNA
Rfam family: Eukaryotic small subunit ribosomal RNA
Source: RNAcentral
CCCUUAGAUGUUCUGGGCCGCACGCGCGCUACACUGACGAAUGCAACGAGCUUAUAACCUUGGCCGAAAGGUCUGGGUAAUCUCCAAAUUUCGUCGUGAUGGGGAUAGAUUAUUGCAAUUAUUAAUCUUCAACGAGGAAUGCCUAGUAAGCGCAAGUCAUCAGCUUGCGUUGAUUACGUCCCUGCCCUUUGUACACACCGCCCGUCGCUCCUACCGAUUGAAUGGUCCGGUGAAUUAUUCGGACCGGCACUCAACCAGGUUUCCUGGAUGAGAGCUGGAAAGUCUUGUGAACCUUAUUAUCUAGAGGAAGGAGAAGUCGUAACA